This 71-nucleotide transfer RNA is filed under the name Ligilactobacillus equi DPC 6820. RNAcentral's name for it is "Lactobacillus equi DPC 6820 tRNA". It matches the Rfam family "tRNA". Rfam says of the family: Transfer RNA (tRNA) molecules are approximately 80 nucleotides in length. Their secondary structure includes four short double-helical elements and three loops (D, anti-codon, and T loops). Lineage: Bacteria; Bacillati; Bacillota; Bacilli; Lactobacillales; Lactobacillaceae. The record is from Rfam by way of RNAcentral.
CCAGGUAUGGCCGAGUGUUUAGGCAAUGGACUUUGACUCCAUUUAGGUUGGUUUAAUUCCAACUAUCUGGU